RNAcentral lists this ribosomal RNA (309 nucleotides) under uncultured bacterium. Its description in RNAcentral is "bacterial SSU rRNA". It matches the Rfam family "Bacterial small subunit ribosomal RNA", at positions 28 to 334 of the family's 1533-position model. The record is from RNAcentral.
GAUGAACGCUAGCGGCAGGCUUAACACAUGCAAGUCGAGGGGUAACAGCAGAGCUUGCUCUGGCUGACGACCGGCGCACGGGUGCGUAACGCGUAUACAAUUUGCCUUGUACUGGAGGAUAGCCCUAAGAAAUUGGGAUUAAUACUCCAUAGUAUUCAUGAUUCGCAUGUUUUAUGAAUUAAAGCUUCGGUGGUACAAGAUGAGUAUGCGUCCUAUUAGUUAGUUGGUGAGGUAACGGCUCACCAAGACAACGAUAGGUAGGGGGCCUGAGAGGGUUAUCCCCCACACUGGUACUGAGACACGGACCAG